UCCCCGCCACGAGGCUCUCCCUUCCCACCGAGUUCAUCCUCGCUGCAGUAGUUAGCACGCAGAUCACGGAGCACCCGGCAGCUUUUGCUGUAAAAGCUUCAGUGCAAUAGAGAUCUCACCAGAUCUCUAUAGUUAAGCGCAGCUCCGAGAAGUUUUGUGUCAAGAAGCGGUGCAGAAAGUGAUAGUCGUAGCCGUGGAAACUGGGGGCAGCAGAAGUAUGUACCAAUAAGUGCCAGGAGGGGAGAAACCCAUAUUUUGUUCAGGUCAUUCAAAGUAAUUGCUUAAGAAUAAUCGUUUUGUUCAGGUAAAGUCAAGCAGUCUUAUUUAUCUGCCUAUUAGGUUGGUAAUUGUUCUAGCUCACACCAUUUAAAAUCUUUAUUGACUCAUUAUCCUAUUGCCAGUUGGUCAUUAAUAUUUGUAUCUGCAUCGUUGUACAGGUCGGUGGUUUCAUGCAGAUGGAUUAAAGCUAAAAGCUGCUCUUUUUUUAAUGAAUUGAUUUCUGUAUCAAUUAAAAAGUCAUGAAUGCAGAUAGCUGGGAACUUUGUAACUAAUUCAAAUUGAUACGAUAAUCUUCUGCGAUGAGAUGGGGCUCAAGUAUCAUAGUGCAUAUAUGCUUUAUAUCUCUAAUAUGGUUCUUAAAUGUCAUUUUGAUAACUUAUCCUACAGAUAUGAACUCUGAUGUGACGGCUGACCUGUUCUGUUCGGAUUGUCGUGCUACAUCGUCUCCUAUACCAUUACAGCAAUUAAAUUCUCAUGUAACAGCAUAUAGUACCACACCAAUAAAAACCACAAGUAAACAUUUUCCUUUGCGGUUGGUUUGAUAUGACUGACACCAUUUCCACUCCUCUAAAACUAUAUUUGCUGUAUUAUUGUUGUUGGUUUUGGCCAAAUUCUGCUCUCAGCUUUUUCAGUUACUAUUUGAGAGAGUAGCAGUGUAAUUCCUGUGAGCAGAAUUUUGCUGCUUUAUACUUAUAUGACAGCUGCAGGCGGUUGGUUCUUUUUGCUUUUUGUUUGUCUGUAGCCAACUGGACAGUCAGAUGGAGCAGAAGAGUAAAUCACUGAAGAGGCUGAUGGACAGUGAAAUGUCCUGACCAGGACAACAUUCAGUAACAUACGUGUCUGUGCCAUAGAGGUCCCUCGGAAGAAAGUGUUAAUAGUUAAUAUCCAAGAUUCAGUAUGCACUGAAAGGAACUGAUGAAUCAGAGGCCGAAAGAAUGAACCAUGGAAGUAUUUGUUCUACAGAAUAGAUAUCCGCUCUCAAAGGAUGCGAAGAUCUCAAAGAAACGUAGGUGUCAUCAUCUAUCUUUUCUGGGUGAAGCAGCAGUGGCACAGAAAGAUGAAGCCGUUCGUCCACAGUCAUGUAGGUUUUCACUGGCAGAGCCAGAAGUAGCCUCCAGGAAUUGAUCCCCUGCCAGCUGAAAGUUGCCAUAGCUCCACUAUAGUCUAACGUUAGCUGUAGCCCCAGGUCUCCUGGAGCAGGGGACCUUCCUAACCCAUAUAUUCUUUCCUACUCAUCAGUGUUCGUUCCUAUUUUUAAAAGAUCUGUGUCCCUGAAGUUGUAUGUACCAUCAGCAAGUGCUGUCUGCAUAAAUUGCAUGAAUAAAAGCUUACACUGCUCACUGAGAGUUUAAACAUAUCUGGAGUCUUGAGCUACUUGCUGUGCACUGGCAUGAUUACGUGGCAUACAAAUAUUUACCAAUAAAGAGUAAUAACAGAUAUUACAGUGAUAGCUACUAAUAGCGCUUGUUCUUCAUUGUAUAAAUACCAAUUAAUCCCUGCAAUUGAUAAGUAGCAUUUUUCCUCAUUCUAUACUUUAAACUUGAGACUUGUCUCAGUUUACUGCUAAGAUAGCACACUUUUUUUCCUGUCUGUCAUGUUUGGUGAACUCCCUCUGGGACCUUAGAGUGAAGCCUCGUUCUUUGCAUAGCCUCACCAAUAUUGCCGUUUCCUUAGGCCUAAAUGCCGCGGCGGUUGAAGUUCUGUGCUGCCUGUGUAAGCGAUGCACUGGAAGGACUGGAGUCACACUCGUGCUUAGCCGUGCUGGUUCUUCAGAGGGUCUGGAAAGGUGCAAAAGUCAGGGAAGAGGUUCUGCAGCUACCUGAAGAGGGUCGGCUGUGUUUUGUUUGCCUUCAGGCAGUCUGGAUGUGUAUUUAUUUGUAUCCUUAGGAGUCAAUCACUUUAAUUUUAAAAUUGCACCAAGUUUCUUGAAAUGCAACUUUUCUUUUUGAGCUAUUGUCAUGAAAUACUAUGGUACUUUUUAAAGCAGAAGGGAAAGCAAAGCAUUUAAAGAGUGAAUUCUUUUUCCAUAAAAUAGGCUAAAUUAAAUCUUUCAGCAAUUUGUUGUCUUUUUUCUUGGAGAUGGAACUAAUUAUUUAUAAGCAGAUGCUGUUUGUUUACAAAGUAAUAACUUUGUCACUGGCAUAUUAUCUUGUUUUUGACUGACUUUUUAAUACAAUAAUUAGUUGCUGCAGAGACAAAUAAUUGACUGCUUUUAGCAAAGAAUGAAAGUUGUUGGAAUAUGAUUGUGUUGUUGAUAAAACUGUUAUGAUUAAUGCAAAUGUAUUCCAGACCUAUUCAUGCUAACAGUUGAUACUUCUAAAUCCCCAAAGUCAGAUUUUUCUUUACCCCUGGAAAAAGUCAAAAUGAUUUAAAUACCUAAAUAAACAUGUUGAUAUGUUUAUAAAGUUUACUUUGAACAACAGUUCAGUAACUUAUCAAUUUUGCUCUCAAUGUCUUAAAGUGGUGUUUUCAGAGUCCUUAAUUUUGUAAAAGUACCCUGUCUUAUUUCACUGUUGCCGACCCUUAAAUAACAUUGGCCUCUUCUUGUGCCUUCUUCAUAUGUACCUGCUAAUCUGCCUCACUCCUGUUCAAAGGUAUUGUGUUUUAAAUCCCUUUUGCAGACCUUCCUUUGGGUUCACUCCAAAUUAUCCACUUCCGUAUGCGGGGAGAGGUGAGCCAUAUGGGUCUGGAAAAGAAAUUCUGCACGUGAGAUAGCAGAUGUAGGGAUGAGUCUCAGACACAGGAAUGCAAGGGGAGCUGGGCCAAAAAGUGCAGGACACAAGAAUGUGUAAGGCCAGCCUUGCUGUAUGGAGCAGAAACCUGGGCCACCGGAGAGUGGGAGUUUUAAUGAGCUCAGCUCUGCCCCAGAGCAACGAGAGGACAUGGGUGAACAGAAGCAUGAGGAGAGCAGAGAACAAAAGUAGUGUCAGAGGCAGAAAAGAUGUGGCAGCAAGACUUAAGCAGUUUGGACAUACUGUGAGGAUGGAAAAAGUCACAGCAAAUGAAAGAUCUAGUUCCCGGGCUAGAGAAUGAGCAGCUGGAAAGGAAGCUGGGGUAACCCUGUCGCAGGAAUGUGCAUAGGGUUUCAUCUAGGGUGCUCUGAGCUCUUCACAAUCGAGCAAUUCCACAGAAGCACCUAUCCUGCCAGUAUUUUGCAAGAAGUUUGUGAUGUAAAACUUGGCCAAAUUAACCAAGUGAGGGAGACAAAGGCUUCCUUAAUGCCUGGCUUCCCUCAUACUUUUGAAAGAAUGAUUUUUGCCUAGUUUGUGUUUCUACUGAAAUAGUCAUUAUAAUAGCAUGAACUCCAAGUCCCAGUAUAACGCGUUAUUGCCGCAAACGCAGCAGUGCCACAAAGGGCGCAGAGAGCAGAAGGGACGGCCCCACGGCACAGGCAGUGCCGCGGCUGCAGACUGUGGAAGGGCCAGCUCUGAGCAGGCAAGACUUUCGCACCUGCUUUUCAGGUGCCCAUGCUGUCAUGGGAGAGGUAGAUUCACUUGGAAAACAUCUGCAAGAUCAGUCCCAGGCUUUGCAUUAAUUUGUAAGUAUUACCUAGUCUGUUGCUCCAGGUUGUAACCUGUUUAUCGCAGUGGCUAGAAGAGGUUUUUUGCCUUCUGCGUACAGCAGUAUAUGAUUUGCUAGGUGAAUUAUGGGGCUUGGGAGGGGGGACACCUCUCUCUCUCGGCAGCAAUGAUUUGGUACUUCAAAAGGCAGUGUGUGAA
This is a long non-coding RNA of Dromaius novaehollandiae (emu), 3998 nucleotides long. RefSeq lists it as uncharacterized. The record is from RefSeq and is a predicted model, not a curated record. The transcript has 3 exons. NCBI's taxonomy places the organism in Eukaryota, Metazoa, Chordata, Aves, Casuariiformes, Dromaiidae.